This 253-nucleotide ribosomal RNA is filed under the name uncultured bacterium. RNAcentral's name for it is "partial 16S ribosomal RNA". It matches the Rfam family "Bacterial small subunit ribosomal RNA", at positions 524 to 776 of the family's 1533-position model. The record is from RNAcentral.
UACGUAGGGUGCAAGCGUUGUCCGGAAUUAUUGGGCGUAAAGAGCUCGUAGGCGGUCUGUCGCGUCGAAUGUGAAAACCCGGGGCUCAACCCCGGGCCUGCAUUCGAUACGGGCAGACUAGAGUUCGGUAGGGGAGUCUGGAAUUCCUGGUGUAGCGGUGAAAUGCGCAGAUAUCAGGAGGAACACCGGUGGCGAAGGCGGGACUCUGGGCCGAUACUGACGCUGAGGCGCGAAAGCGUGGGGAGCAAACAGG